Ribosomal RNA from Cercocebus atys (sooty mangabey), 99 nucleotides. The record is from Ensembl. NCBI's taxonomy places the organism in Eukaryota, Metazoa, Chordata, Mammalia, Primates, Cercopithecidae.
AUUUACAGCCAUACUACUCCAAUCCAAGAAGCUAUGCAGGGUCGGGCCUGGUAAGGACUUAAAUGGGAGACUGCCUGGGAAUACUGAAAGUGGUGGCCU